AAGUCGGAAUGUUCCCGGCGCGACCACCGGGUGUCAGUGUUGUUCUUCCCCAGAGAGAACUCCUCCCAUCCCCCCACACAGACGCGUCAGCUCAGCUGAACUCCUGGCUCUCACUGCAACGAUACGCGGGAGUUUUACCUCAGGAUUCAUGAACAGUUUUUCAUCGACUUAUUUCUGAUUUAUUUGAAGGAAAAGACCCUGACGGAUAAAAGAUGGAUAAUUUUUUUUCCCGGAGAAGCUAAAACAAUGGUACUUUGAGGUUCUGAUACCAGCUUUUACAAAGUUAUUUACAGAGUUCACAAGACGUCUCUGUGUUAUUCCCUGACCAUGCCGAAAAGCUAUUUGAAACUUGGGCAUUGCAUUUUACAGACAGAAUCCUGCAACUUCCCAGCCAAGAACCAGGAGCACCAACAAAUAACCUCCAGAACCCCAUGAUGAUAUUCCAACUCCUGUCUACAAAAGUGGGAAGAAAAUCUUAAGUCUACAUGUUGGCACCAACAUGGUUGCAUUCUUCUGAGAGGCUGAGGUGACAAAACUAUUCCCAUUUAUCCUUGGCUUGAAAGAUUGAGAUCUCUGCCAUCAAGCCUUCGAUGUUUUUGACAGACAGUCACUCCAGCAAUACACCAUCCUUGGUGAUGUUGACAUGUUUUAAACUUUUUUUAUGUUUUGGACAUUAAUUUUACUAAGCAGUGCAGAUCAGUGUGGGUGUUUUUGCAGACUGUUGUUUACAAACUCCCAAGAACGGAAUCCCUUUCUAAGGUGAUAAUUCAUGUUGAUCAUAUAUUGACUGUUUGUGCAACUUUGUGUUGAUCUUAUGUGUUACAUUAACCAUUUCUUAUUACACGGUUCUCAAAAAUGCUAGAUUCUGAUUGGCCAGUUGAGACAUUCUACUACUGCUCAAAACUAAAAACUCUGAUGCUGCAAAUAAUUUUGACAGGUACUGUUUAAUAUUACACAAAAAUUAAAUAUCAAUGACUAUUAAUUACAUAUCCGACAUUAAAUUUACAAAUGAUUAAACCAAUGUGUUCGUGACAUUUGUCCUGAAGAGACUGUUGGGGCUUUUUUCUGUGAUGACAUGCUGCCAAUACAUUAUCCCUUACUUGUACAACUUUUUACUUGAUGUAAUUGUAAUGUUAACUGGGUAUCUGUCAUUUUAGAUUAUGAGAUAUAAAACUAAUAUAUUUUUUAUCAGAAAGUUGAUUGUUUGUGUAGGGCUAUGUACUCUUUUAUUGUUCAUGUGCAAUAAAUAUUCUUUUUCAAUUAAAUCUAUGCUUUGUUAUUUAUAGACACCACAAUGAAAGGUAUGAAAGCAAUUUAAAUCACAAAAUUUCAGCUUUAAACACAUUAACCAAACAUUGGGUUGUUUCAACCCAACAAAAAGUUAUUUCUACCCAACAGAUGGGUUAAAAAAUAAACCCAACGAGUUGGGUUGAUUGUACAACCCAACUUGUUGGGUUAAAAUAACCCAGCGUUGGGUUGGUCCAUAUUUAACCCAGCGUUGGGUUGCAAAACAACCCAAGUUGGGUUAAUUUUAACCCAACGUUUUUU
Paramisgurnus dabryanus is the source of this 1548-nucleotide long non-coding RNA. RefSeq lists it as uncharacterized. NCBI's taxonomy places the organism in Eukaryota, Metazoa, Chordata, Actinopteri, Cypriniformes, Cobitidae. The record is from RefSeq and is a predicted model, not a curated record.